CCUUGUACACACCGCCCGUCAAGCCACGAAAGAGAGGGACAUCCGAAGUCGUCUUCACAGACGCCGAAGAUGGACUUCUUGAUUGGGACU
Molecule: ribosomal RNA, 90 nt
Filed under: uncultured bacterium
Lineage: Bacteria
Description: partial 16S ribosomal RNA
Source: RNAcentral